GAUGAAGAACGUAGCGAAAUGCGAUAAGUAAUGCGAAUUGCAGAAUUCAGUGAGUCAUCGAAUCUUUGAACGCACAUUGCGCCCUGUGGUAUUCCGCAGGGCAUGCCUGUUCGUGCGUCAUUUCAACCCUCAAGCUCUGCUUGGUGUUGGGCCCUGCCCGCUGCGGCCGGCCCUAAAGACAGUGGCGGUGCCGCCUGGCCCUGAGCGUAGUACAUCUCUCGCUCCAGUGCCCGGUGGUAGCCUGCCAGAACCCCAACUCUCGUGGUUGACCUCGGAUCAGGUAGGGAUACCCGCUGAACUUAAGCAUAUCAAUAAGCGGAGGA
Molecule: unclassified non-coding RNA, 323 nt
Filed under: soil metagenome
Description: partial contains 5.8S ribosomal RNA, internal transcribed spacer 2, and large subunit ribosomal RNA
Rfam family: 5.8S ribosomal RNA (bases 1-120)
Source: RNAcentral